RNAcentral lists this unclassified non-coding RNA (201 nucleotides) under Hevea brasiliensis (rubber tree). Lineage: Eukaryota; Viridiplantae; Streptophyta; Magnoliopsida; Malpighiales; Euphorbiaceae. The record is from RNAcentral.
AUUGACUUUCCUUGUGUCUCAACACCCACAAGAAAUUUACCUUGGACUCCUCCAAUCCUGUUGCUAUUUCCUUCAGUUGCUCUGAUGAAAUCUCUGCUUGAGUCCCAAAGGCUACGUAUAAAAUUGAGUGCCCUUGCUCCAAAUUUUGAUCUAGCCACUGAAUCCAAGCGGAUUUCUUGUCUGGUUCACGUUCAACACUUG